RNAcentral lists this ribosomal RNA (305 nucleotides) under uncultured bacterium. Its description in RNAcentral is "bacterial SSU rRNA". It matches the Rfam family "Bacterial small subunit ribosomal RNA", at positions 333 to 637 of the family's 1533-position model. The record is from RNAcentral.
GAACCUACGGGGCGCAGCAGUGAGGAAUAUUGGUCAAUGGACGCAAGUCUGAAGCAGCCAUGCCGCGUGCAGGAAGACGGCUCUAUGAGUUGUAAACUGCUUUUGUACGAGGGUAAACGCAGAUACGCGUAUCUGUCUGAAAGUAUCGUACGAAUAAGGAUCGGCUAACUCCGUGCCAGCAGCCGCGGUAAUACGGAGGAUUCAAGCGUUAUCCGGAUUUAUUGGGUUUACAGGGUGCGUAGGCGGUCGGAUAAGUUAGAGGUGAAAUCCCGCGGCUCAACUUCGGAAUUACCUCUGAUAGUAUU